UACGGAGGAUGCGAGCGUUAUCCGGAUUUAUUGGGUUUAAAGGGUGCGUAGGCGGGAUAAUAAGUCAGCGGUGAAAGUUUUCGGCUCAACCGGAAAAUUGCCGUUGAAACUGUUGUUCUUGAGUGCAGAAGAGGUAGGCGGAAUUCGUUAUGUAGCGGUGAAAUGCGUAGAUAUAACGAAGAACACCAAUUGCGUAGGCAGCUUACCAUACUGCAACUGACGCUGAGGCACGAAGGCGUGGGGAUCAAACAGGAUUAGAUACCCUGGUAGUCCCU
Molecule: ribosomal RNA, 275 nt
Filed under: uncultured prokaryote
Description: partial 16S ribosomal RNA
Rfam family: Bacterial small subunit ribosomal RNA
Source: RNAcentral